Molecule: transfer RNA, 62 nt
Filed under: Cucujoidea sp. 36 KM-2017
Lineage: Eukaryota; Metazoa; Arthropoda; Insecta; Coleoptera
Description: tRNA-Cys
Source: RNAcentral
AGUUUUAUAUUCAAAUAUGAUAUUAAAUUGCAAAUUUAAUGGUGAGAAACUCUCUAAAGCUU